GAACCCUUGGAGAGAUCCGAUAUGAAUAAUCAUAAUCGGACGCCGAAGGCGCAAAAGAGCGGUGAUUUUUUUCACUGUUUUUCAAACGCUCAGGCAAAAGGACAGGGGCAA
RNAcentral lists this non-coding RNA (111 nucleotides) under uncultured Actinobacillus sp. RNAcentral describes it as "Glycine riboswitch". It matches the Rfam family "Glycine riboswitch aptamer", at positions 8 to 87 of the family's 94-position model. Rfam says of the family: This family represents the bacterial glycine riboswitch. Glycine riboswitches usually consist of two metabolite-binding aptamers domains with similar structures in tandem. The aptamers cooperatively bind glycine to regulate the expression of downstream genes. Lineage: Bacteria; Pseudomonadati; Pseudomonadota; Gammaproteobacteria; Pasteurellales; Pasteurellaceae. The record is from RNAcentral.